UACGGGGGGGGCAAGCGUUGUUCGGAUUUACUGGGCGUAAAGGGCGCGUAGGCGGUUCGCUAAGUCGGAUGUGAAAACUAUGGGCUCAACCCAUAGCCUGCAUCCGAUACUGGCGGACUAGAGUGCGAGAGGGGAAAGCGGAAUUCCUGGUGUAGCGGUGAAAUGCGUAGAUAUCAGGAGGAACACCGGUGGCGAAGGCGGCUUUCUGGAUCGCAACUGACGCUGAGGCGCGAAAGCUAGGGGAGCAAACAGG
This 253-nucleotide unclassified non-coding RNA is filed under the name uncultured Acidobacteriota bacterium. RNAcentral describes it as "uncultured Acidobacteria bacterium contains 16S-23S intergenic spacer region". It matches the Rfam family "Bacterial small subunit ribosomal RNA", at positions 524 to 776 of the family's 1533-position model. Lineage: Bacteria; Pseudomonadati; Acidobacteriota. The record is from RNAcentral.